GACGAACGCUGGCGGCGUGCUUAACACAUGCAAGUCGAACGGAAAGGCCCUGCUUUUGUGGGGUGCUCGAGUGGCGAACGGGUGAGUAACACGUGAGUAACCUGCCCUUGACUUUGGGAUAACUUCAGGAAACUGGGGCUAAUACCGGAUAGGAGCUCCUGCUGCACGGUGGGGGUUGGAAAGUUUCGGCGGUUGGGGAUGGACUCGCGGCUUAUCAGCUUGUUGGUGGGGUAGUGGCUUACCAAGGCUUUGACGGGUAGCCGGCCUGAGAGGGUGACCGGCCACAUUGGGACUGAGAUACGGCCCAGACUCCUACGGGAGGCAGCAGUGGGGAAUAUUGCACAAUGGGCGGAAGCCUGAUGCAGCAACGCCGCGUGCGGGAUGAAGGCCUUCGGGUUGUAAACCGCUUUCGCCUGUGACGAAGCGUGAGUGACGGUAAUGGGUAAAGAAGCACCGGCUAACUACGUG
RNAcentral lists this ribosomal RNA (468 nucleotides) under uncultured bacterium. Its description in RNAcentral is "partial 16S ribosomal RNA". It matches the Rfam family "Bacterial small subunit ribosomal RNA", at positions 28 to 507 of the family's 1533-position model. The record is from RNAcentral.